GGGUCACUAGCUCAAUUGGUAGAGCAGCGGACUCUUAAUCCGGAGGUUGAAGGUUCGAUUCCUUCGUGACCCACCA
Molecule: transfer RNA, 76 nt
Filed under: Desulfovibrionaceae bacterium CG1_02_65_16
Lineage: Bacteria; Pseudomonadati; Thermodesulfobacteriota; Desulfovibrionia; Desulfovibrionales; Desulfovibrionaceae
Description: tRNA-Lys
Rfam family: tRNA
About the family: Transfer RNA (tRNA) molecules are approximately 80 nucleotides in length. Their secondary structure includes four short double-helical elements and three loops (D, anti-codon, and T loops). Further hydrogen bonds mediate the characteristic L-shaped molecular structure. tRNAs have two regions of fundamental functional importance: the anti-codon, which is responsible for specific mRNA codon recognition, and the 3' end, to which the tRNAs corresponding amino acid is attached (by aminoacyl-tRNA synthetases). tRNAs cope with the degeneracy of the genetic code in two manners: having more than one tRNA (with a specific anti-codon) for a particular amino acid; and 'wobble' base-pairing, i.e. permitting non-standard base-pairing at the 3rd anti-codon position.
Source: RNAcentral